CAAGAGAAUGAUAAAAACCUAAUAACAACAUGAUUAGCACAAUUCAAAUUCAAGUCACACUUAAAACGGUGAACAUCCUGGCCAUAAUAUGAAUUGUAAUUUUUUUGUUCCAACUAACUAUCUCAGCAUUCAUUUAAUCAAAAGGCAAAAUGCCAAAUCAAAACCUACUUUUAAGAAAGGAAUUAGUGAGGUGAGAUUGGGGCAAGUGGUCUACAAAGCAACUAAGCAUUACAAGGCCAAAUGUAACUUAAAAAAACUAAGCACAUACAUUUUAGCCUAUUUUCCCCCAUACUUGAAAACUACAAGGUUUCUUCCUAUACAUACUUACUUUGCAAAAUUUAUCACCAUAAUACACUUAUACAAGUAGUAUAAGCUUCGUUCCGUAUGAUGCCAAAGCAUUCGUCACAUAACCGAACAUGCAUUCGGGUUUUCAUCGCUGAAAACCUCGAAAGAAUCGGAUGGUUGUGACGAAUACGAUGAAUACAUGUCGAAAGAGGGGUGUUCAGGCAUGUAUCCCGGGUGCAUAUGUCACGGACUUAGAGUUUUCCCACGCGAUCCGUGCGGCCUUAGGCAGUUUCUCUGCUCAAAACGCCUAAGUCAGCCUAACUUGUAACAAAAAAAGAUUCAGCAGCAAAAACGCCCAAGUCAACUUCACUCGCAACAAUAAAGGAUUCAAUAGAAUUCCCUUAAGAUUUUCACGAAGAACAACAGAAGAACGAAGUAAGAACGAGCCUUGAAAUAUGAACAAAAGCAAGAACACUUGAGAGAAAAGUUUGAGUGAAUACUCUCAAAAUUCUUAUUAAUAACUCAAUGAAUAUACAAUGAGCAAAGAGGUCUCUAUUUAUAGUUGAGCCUCACAGUAUAUCAAUAGCUAUAAUUAAAAGCUGAAUACAAUUAGAACUCUAAGCUUACAUAGCCAGCUAUAUACAAAUAGAACUCUAAGAUUCCAUAAUUAUAUCUUCUAGAACACUUCCCAUUUCUAUCAGGCUCUUGAGAUGGGCUUUUAAUCUCUCAAAUCACCGGGCCAGUUUGGUUGGGCCAGUUUGGUUGGGCUAAAUGACCUCCCUCGAACACGAUGGAUCGCACCAGUUUGUCAUGGUUGCGAGCACCGACGCGCAACCCAUGACAUUCUCCCCCACUUGUUCUAGCGACGCCUUCGUCGCAUCCUCCUUAUGGAACUGGUCAAUCUUUCCUUGGAACUGCCACAAUGCCUCAGCAGGUUCCCAACUUGCUUCGCUAUCAGGAAGUCCCUUCUAUCGAACUAAGUACUCAUGCUGUGGUCGGUGGUACUUUCGUCUAAUUACCCGAUCUGCCUCAAUAUUUUCUACUUCACGAUCAUACGAGACUUUUACCCCCAUCGGUGCUCGUUCGGACUUGCCUCGAUUCGGAUCUUCUUGAUCCUCAUGGAAUGGCUUAAGCAUGCUUACAUGGAAGACUGGGUGUACUUUAAGUUUUGGUGGCAACUCCAGCUUGUAGGCCACCUUGCCCACUCUCUUCACAACUUUAAACGGCCCUUCAUACCUUCGCACAAGACCCUUGUGCAAACCAGUAUAUCGUAAAAUCAAGUGUAGUUUAGCAAGGACUGAGUCACCCACUUGAAAUUGUACAUCCCUUCGGUUCUGAUCGGCCCACUUCUUGCUACGCUUACUUGCCUUGUGUAAACAAGCUCUAGCCAAGUCAUUCUUCUCUUGCCAAUCUUUUGCGAAUCUAUAGGCUGCUGGAUUUGGUCCUGUGUAAUGGGUCACAACAGAGUUGGGUGUGAGUGGCUGUUGACCCGUCACUAUUUCAAAUGGACUUUGAUUCGUGGUCCCACUUUGCUGCAAAUUAUAUGAAAAUUGGGCCACAUCCAGCAACUUUGGCCAAUCCCUUUGUAUGGCACUCACAUAGUGCCGAAGAUACGUCUCCAACAGUGCAUUUACUCGUUCAGUUUCCCCAUCGGUUUGUGGAUGCAUGCUCGUGGAGAAGUUCAAAUCUGAGCCCAUUGACUUGAACAACUCUGUCCAGAACCGACCAGUAAAUCGACCAUCUCGAUCGCUGAUAAUAGAUAGUGGCACUCCCCAAUAUUUCACCACGUGUCUAAGGAAUAACCGAGCUGCUUCCUCAGCAGGGCACUCUUUGGUCGCCGGAAUAAAAGUCGCAUACUUUGAAAACCUGUCCACCACAACAAGAAUACUAGCAAACCCGUCAGACUUAGGCAAACCAAUAAUAAAAUCCAUGGAUAAACUCUCCCAUGGCCUUUCUGGGACUGGCAGGGGUUGAAGCAAGCAGGCUGGAGUCUUUAACUCAACCUUGUCUUGUUGGCACACUAGACAAGUUUUCACAUAGGUUUCCACAUCAGCACCCAUGUGAGGCCAAUAAUAGCGAUCCUCCAAAAGGGCCAAAGUGCGAUACAUCCCUGGAUGGCCUGCCCAUUUCGAGUCAUGACAUUCCUUCAUGACUUCCUUACGGAGUUUCCCAUAAUGGGGCACAUAGAGGCGGUGUCCAUGAGUGUAUACUAGCUCCCCAUCAAGCCAAAAUCUUCUUGUUUUUCCCUCCUUGGCAAGCUCAAUCAAAUUUUUGGCCGUAGGAUCAUGGGACAAUCCCUCUCGAAUGCGUUCCAACAAAGAGCCAUCAGGUUGACUGAUUGCUGCGAAUUCCAUCUUUCGACUAAGUGCAUCAGCAACAUUGUUGGCACUUCCUGGUUUAUAUUCCAUUGUAAAAUCAAACUCUGCUAGUAAAACCUGCCAACGAGCCUGCUUGGGAGACAACUUUUUCUGGGUUAGAAAGUAACUAUUGGCAACAUUGUCGGUAAGGACCACGAACCUGGAACCCAAUAAAUAAUGUCUCCAUGUGUGCAAGCAGUGUACUACCGCAGUCAUCUCUUUCUCUUGGACCGUAUAUCUACGUUCCGUCUCGUUAAGCUUUCGACUCUCGAAAGCAAUUGGGUGUCCAUCUUGCAUCAGUACUCCCCCAAUAGCAUAAUCUGAUGCAUCUGUACGUACCUCGUAAGGCUUCGUAAAAUCCGGCAAGACAAGUACGGGCUCCCUCGUCAUUUCUUGCUUCAAUUGGUUGAAGGUCUUCUCACAUUCUGGAUUCCAAUCCCAUACCUUCCCCUUCUUCAACAUGUCCGUCAAGGGAGUGGUAAUUUUGGAGUAGCCUUCGACAAAGCGGCGAUAGUAAUUUGCCAAUCCAAGGAAAGAUCUCAACUCUGUUACCUUGGUUGGAGGCUCCCACUCUGAAAUGGCUCGAAUCUUAUUUUUAUCCAUUCGGAUCUUACCGCCUCCCACAAUGUGGCCUAAGAAUGACACCUCUUGUUGGGCAAAUGAACAUUUCUCCUCCUUGACGAACAGCAGCUCAUUUUCCCUCAAAGUCUGGAACACCUCCCUCAAGUGUCUUACGUGCUCUUCAAGCGACUUGCUAUAGACCACAAUAUCGUCAAGGUAAACAACCACAAAACGAUCAAGAAAUGGUUGAAGUACCUUAUUCAUUAGGGUGCAGAAUGUAGCUAGAGCAUUCGUGAGUCCAAAAGGCAUCACAAGGAACUCAUACGAACCGUACCGUGUCACACAAGCUGUCUUUGGUUCGUCCCCCUCGACUAUCCGAACUUGAUGAUACCCCGAUCUCAAAUCUAACUUGGUAAACCAUCUUACACCACCAAGCUGGUCGAACAAAUCUGCGAUAAGAGGAAUAGGAUACCUAUUCUUCACGGUGAUCUUGUUUAGAGCUCGAUAAUCGAUGCACAUUCUUAAGGACCCAUCGUGUUUCUUUUGGAACAACACUGGCGCACCAUAUGGGGAUUUAGAUGGUCUAAUGAAUCCCGCAUCCAAAAGUUCCUUCAAUUGUUUCCGCAACUCUUCUAAUUCUGGUGGAGACAUACGAUAGGGGGCCCUUGCUGGCGGCACCACAUUGGAUACUAACUCGAUUUUGUGGUCCACCUCCCUCUUGGGUGGCAAACUUUUUGGCAACUGAGCAGGCAUUUCAUCUCGAAAUAAUUGUAGCAAUUGUCCCACUUCUUUCGGGGUCUUACUAACAAACUCAGCGGUCUCUUCGAUCUUCAAGGUGGCUAAAUAUGAGACUUCAUUUCUCCGUACACCUUUAGCAAACUGAAUUGCUGAUAGUGUUUUUCCCUCAAAGCUUCUCUUCCUUGUCACUUUCACCAUGCAUUGAUGUUUCGCAUCUGAAAUCACCAUGUAAUUGCUCGAAGGGGCAAUAAGAGCUUUAACCUGAUCAAGGAAGCUUAGUCCCACCACAAAAUCAUAGUCAUCAAGUGGUAUUACCUUAAUGGAUACCUUCCCUGACCAAUUGCCGAGUUGAAGAUCCACUCCCUUUGCAACCCCCUUGAUUGGAAUACUUUCCGAGUUCACUGUUUUGAUCCGACCCCCUUCAUUAUCUAUCUUGAGGCCUAGUUUACAAGCAGCCUCCUCAGACAUGAAUAAAUCAGAAGCGCCUGUGUCGACGAGCGCAUUCAAUUUUCUGCCGGCCACAAUGAUGUCUACAAACAUCAAACCAUGGCUCAUUCUAUCUUCGACACCCCCUAAUAUCGAUCCAAGGUUGUUAUCCUCCACAUCAGACUCCCCCUUUGCUUCCAUAGCCUUGAGAGCGGCCUUCUUUGGACAGUCCUUGAUCAUAUGUGGACUCUCACAGUGGAAGCACCUUAUAGGCCCACUCUUUCUCUUGUCCCAAGGUUUCUUACCAUCGCCGUUCCUAGUGGGCCUUUCUUUAUCUCCCCCACUAUUACCUUUUAAUCUGGGUUUAGAAGAAUUGGAAUUGUCUUUCCUCCCACCAAAUUCAGCAAGUGAUUCUGCUACUGACAUAGCCUUGGUGAGCUCUUGAACUCCUCGGCGCUGCAACUCUUGCUUCGCCCACGGUUUUAAUCCGUCCAUAAAGGAAAAGAAUGCCUCUUUCUCCCCCAUAUCUUAUAUUUAGAGCAUAAGCUCGCUAAACUCCUGUACAUACUCCCUCACAGUGCCUUGUUGCGCAAGCCGACGCAACCUUGCCCGAGCCUCAUCCUCGGCAUACUCUGGGUAAAACUGUGCUUUGAACUCACAUCGAAACUCCUCCCAUGUUUCGAUUUCAGACCCACCACGUCUCACAUCAGUGGACCUACGACGCCACCACAACAAAGCAACGUCAGAUAAAUACAUCGCAGCAGUAGUUACCUUAGUGACAUCCUCCAUGAUGCCUUUGGCACAGAAGUAUUGCUCGAUUCCCCACAAAAAGUUGUCCACAUCUCUUGCGGACCUUGUUCCCUUAAACUCUUUUGGCUUGGGAACAUCAAUAUUGGGCUUGGGUGGCAGCCGCUAACCCACCAUUGCCCAAGGCAACCUUGUAGAUUGUGAGUUCACCCUUGAGCUCCGCAAUCUCUCCCUUCAAGGCCACCACCAUAGCCUCAAUGGUAUCAUCUCUACCAGUCAACUGUUUCAUAUUAUCCGUCACAUACUCUUUAAGCUGCUCCUGCAUGGACUGCAGUCCAUCAUGGAGCCUAUCAUCAACGUCUUCAACCCUCUCCUUGAUAUCCCCCAUUGAACUCUCGAGAGUGACGACGCGAUCCUCUAAAGCUGACAAUAUGUCCCUUGAGCGACUGGCUUUCCUAGCCCUCCCAUGGGUCUCCAUUCCCUCAACUUCUUUUGACAUCUUUCAACGGUGGCUUCGAACCUUAGCUCGGAUACCAACUGUCACGGACUUAGAGUUUUCCCACGCGAUCCGUGCGGCCUUAGGCAGUUUCUCUGCUCAAAAUGCCUAAGUCAGCCUAACUUGUAACAAAAAAAGAUUCAGCAGCAAAAACGCCCAAGUCAACUUCACUCGCAACAAUAAAGGAUUCAAUAGAAUUCCCUUAAGAUUUUCACGAAGAACAACAGAAGAACGAAGUAAGAACGAGCCUUGAAAUAUGAACAAAAGCAAGAACACUUGAGAGAAAAGUUUGAGUGAAUACUCUCAAAAUUCUUAUUAAUAACUCAAUGAAUAUACAAUGAGCAAAGAGGUCUCUAUUUAUAGUUGAGCCUCACAGUAUAUCAAUAGCUAUAAUUAAAAGCUGAAUACAAUUAGAACUCUAAGCUUACAUAGCCAGCUAUAUACAAAUAGAACUCUAAGAUUCCAUAAUUAUAUCUUCUAGAACACUUCCCAUUUCUAUCAGGCUCUUGAGAUGGGCUUUUAAUCUCUCAAAUCACCGGGCCAGUUUGGUUGGGCCAGUUUGGUUGGGCUAAAUGACCUCCCUCGAACACGAUGGAUCGCACCAGUUUGUCAUGGUUGCGAGCACCGACGCGCAACCCAUGACACAUAUACAUACAUGAAUACGGUCGUGGUGAGGUGUAAUACAAUUCGCUAUGGCAACUACCAGGAUAAGCUGUGUUGUAUCUAGUAACAUACACCGGUGGUGGUGCAUGGUAAUACGUUGGGUAUUCAUCCAUGUGGUGAUGCCGUGGAG
RNAcentral lists this long non-coding RNA (6403 nucleotides) under Gossypium barbadense (sea-island cotton). RNAcentral's name for it is "long non-coding RNA (GBAR_LNC007762)". The record is from RNAcentral. Lineage: Eukaryota; Viridiplantae; Streptophyta; Magnoliopsida; Malvales; Malvaceae.